This 75-nucleotide transfer RNA is filed under the name Candidatus Colwellbacteria bacterium CG10_big_fil_rev_8_21_14_0_10_42_22. Its description in RNAcentral is "tRNA-Phe". It matches the Rfam family "tRNA". Rfam says of the family: Transfer RNA (tRNA) molecules are approximately 80 nucleotides in length. Their secondary structure includes four short double-helical elements and three loops (D, anti-codon, and T loops). Further hydrogen bonds mediate the characteristic L-shaped molecular structure. tRNAs have two regions of fundamental functional importance: the anti-codon, which is responsible for specific mRNA codon recognition, and the 3' end, to which the tRNAs corresponding amino acid is attached (by aminoacyl-tRNA synthetases). tRNAs cope with the degeneracy of the genetic code in two manners: having more than one tRNA (with a specific anti-codon) for a particular amino acid; and 'wobble' base-pairing, i.e. permitting non-standard base-pairing at the 3rd anti-codon position. Lineage: Bacteria; Candidatus Colwelliibacteriota. The record is from RNAcentral.
GCCGAGGUAGCUCAAUGGUAGAGCGCGGCCCUGAAGAGGCCGGCGUUGGGAGUUCGAUUCUCCCCCUCGGCACCG